ACCUGGUGACUCUGAAUAACUUCGAGCUGAUCGCACGGUCUCCGUACCGGCGACGCAUCUUUCAAAUGUCUGCAUUAUCAACUGUCGAUGGUAGGUUCCAUGCCUACCAUGGUGGUAACGGGUAACGGGGAAUCAGGGUUCGAUUCCGGAGAGGGAGCCUGAGAAACGGCUACCACAUCCAAGGAAGGGCAGCAGGCGCGCAAAUUACCCACUCCCGGAACGGGGAGGUAGUGACGAAAAAUAACGAUACGGGACUCAUCCGAGGCCCCGUAAUCGGAAUGAGAACACUUUAAAACCUUUAAACGAGGAUCAAUUGGAGGGCAAGUCUGGUGCCAGCAGCCGCGGUAAUUCCAGCUCCAAUAGCGUAUAUUAAAGUUGUUGCGGUUAAAAAGCUCGUAGUCGGAUCUGUGUCUGGACGGUGCCGGACCACCCUGGCGGUCCGUCGUGUCGCGGCCGGCCGUGUCGCGGGACCACGUGUCCCGUCGGCGCGGUCGCCGUCGCGCUCGUCAGCCGUCUCGGGGUGUUAGUUACCGGCACGUCGGCCGGACGUAUUGUCGGCAGGCGGACACGUGUCUCGUGCUUCCGGCGCGCCGCGCGGCCACGCGUCGCGCGGCCGUCGGUGUUCGACGACGGCGGCCGCCUACUCCAAUCUUGCUGCGCGGUGCUCUUCACCGAGUGCCGUCGGCGGGCCGACACGUUUACUUUGAACAAAUUAGAGUGCUCAAAGCAGGCUCGAAUCUGGCGGGGCGGCUUCACGGCCGUCUCGUCAAAAGGCCCUGAAUACUGGUCGCAUGGAAUAAUGGAACAAGACCUCGGUCCCGCGCAUCUCCGCCCUUCGCGGGCGCGCGAAAUCGCCCUCCGGGGCGUUUCCGUGCGCGGGCCGCCGGGCCGCGGGCGCCAGUCGCCCGCGCGUCCCGCCGGGCCGGUUUUCGGGACCGGAGGUAAUGAUCAACAGAGACGGGCGGGGGCAUUCGUACCGAGACGUUAGAGGUGAAAUUCUUGGAUCGUCUCGAGACGAACUGACGCGAAAGCAUUUGCCAAGUACGUUCUCGUAUGAUCAAGAACGAAAGUUAGAGGUUCGAAGGCGAUCAGAUACCGCCCUAGUUCUAACUGUAAACGAUGCCAGCUAGCGAUCCGCCGGCGUUUCAUUAACGACCCGGCGGGCAGCUUCCGGGAAACCGAAGCUUUUCGGUUCCGGGGGAAGUAUGAUUGCAAAGUUGAAACUUAAAGGAAUUGACGGAAGGGCACCACCAGGAGUGGAGCCUGCGGCUUAAUUUGACUCAACACGGGAAACCUCACCAGGCCCGGACACCGGAAAGAUUGACAGAUUGAGAGCUCUUUCUUGAUUCGGUGGGUGGUGGUGCAUGGCCGUUCUUAGUUGGUGGAGCGAUCUGUCUGGUUAAUUCCGAUAACGAACGAGACUCUGUCCUGCUAACUAGGCGGGUAAACCCGGGUCGGCGUGUGCGCGGCGCUGGCGGUUUCGGCCGUCAGUGUUCGCGUACCCGUCGGCUCGGCCCGGUAUCCCCGAACGCGUUCGCCCGUCGUCCACGGCGGUCGUCGGGCGCGGCCGCGCCAUCCGCGUCCCGGCGUUCGGCGGGCGUAUGUCGGCCGGGGGGCAACCUCCGGUCGGCCUGCGUCCGUCGUGCGUCGGGCUCCGUGGUGAAGCGCGCCGUGUUCGCGGCCGUCGCCGGCGGAUCACGAUACGUUACUAGGGCUACCGCCGGCUCCCAG
Molecule: ribosomal RNA, 1731 nt
Filed under: Acyrthosiphon pisum (pea aphid)
Lineage: Eukaryota; Metazoa; Arthropoda; Insecta; Hemiptera; Aphididae
Description: SSU rRNA
Rfam family: Eukaryotic small subunit ribosomal RNA
Source: RNAcentral